CCUGCCCUGGGAGCUGCCUUCUCUCAUGGUCCCCCGCGGGUGUGCGGCAGAGAGGCCAGGCCGGUGCUGGACGGUCCGGUUGCUUCUGUCCCUCUUCCUGCCCAUCUGGGCCUGGCACGGAUGCUCUGCUCGUGUCCUUGCUAAAACCAGCUGCCUGCCUGGCACAGAGGACUUCUGCUGGCCCCCCUCCCCGGGACUGCGGGGCUCUUUACUCCGCCGCCCCCUCCCCCAUGGCACAAGGCAGAGCGCUCACUUAGAUUAAUUAAUCUGCUGCCCGGCCUGCUCCUCUGGCCCAUCUUUUAUUCAUGGACAAGCGGCGUUCUCUGCUUUACCAGGACGCGAGCAUCAAUAUUUCAUCCUUGCUUCGCCUGCCAGCAUCCCGCUCCCUCCUCCCUGCUUCUCACCGGCUCUAGGACCCGGAGAGCUGGGCCACGCUGGCCUGACCCAGGGCGUCAUCACAGAUGUCCACGCUGCCUUCAGCUUGCCCGCCGUGCCAUCGUGGACUCCAGAGUCUGCGCAAGAAGCCGCCCUUCUGAAUUCAGAAAAGGGACGUUCUUCCCAGGUCCGUGUGGUGUCUGGUGGGCCGGCUCAGGACACCAGGAGGUGGCUGGCUGGGGACCAGUGCUUCCUCCUGGUCCCUCUUCUGCACCUCUCUGGCUCUCUGUCUCUGGCAUCUUCACCUCUAGCUCUGUGGCUCUGCUGCCUGCUUCCUUCAGUCCCUUCUGGACCUGCCUUCUCACUGGCAUGGCUGAAGAUGGGGCCCCGCU
This 767-nucleotide long non-coding RNA is filed under the name Bos mutus (wild yak). RNAcentral's name for it is "lncRNA (ENSBMUG00000009957.1)". The record is from RNAcentral. Lineage: Eukaryota; Metazoa; Chordata; Mammalia; Artiodactyla; Bovidae.